UUUUAAUGGGGACAAGUUAUAAAACAUCAUGAAAUAAAUCCUCUUUCAGAAAACAAUAACAGUAAACAGUAAUAUUUGUUUCAUGUAAGAAAGAUGAACUAAUUGUUCAGUAAUAAACUCAAUAAAUAUUAAGUCAUAUCAAAUAUUCACAUUUGAGAGGUUUUCAAGAAUGAAUCAUGUAAUCAGUGUGGCAUUCUACCUCGAGAAUAACCAAUAACAGUGGACCCC
This 228-nucleotide long non-coding RNA is filed under the name Capsicum annuum. RNAcentral describes it as "long non-coding RNA (CANN_LNC007760)". Lineage: Eukaryota; Viridiplantae; Streptophyta; Magnoliopsida; Solanales; Solanaceae. The record is from RNAcentral.